Non-coding RNA from Triticum aestivum (bread wheat), 127 nucleotides. Lineage: Eukaryota; Viridiplantae; Streptophyta; Magnoliopsida; Poales; Poaceae. The record is from Rfam.
AUUCUACUUCCUUCGUCCGGAAAUACCCGUCGGAGGAAUGGAUAUAUAUCUAGAUGUAUUUUAGUUCUAGAUACAUCCGUUUUUAUGCAUUUCUCUGACAAGAAUUUCCGGACAGAGGGAGUAUAAC